This 443-nucleotide ribosomal RNA is filed under the name uncultured bacterium. Its description in RNAcentral is "partial 16S ribosomal RNA". It matches the Rfam family "Bacterial small subunit ribosomal RNA", at positions 338 to 795 of the family's 1533-position model. The record is from RNAcentral.
CCUACGGGUGGCAGCAGUGGGGAAUAUUGGGCAAUGGGCGCAAGCCUGACCCAGCAACGCCGCGUGAAGGAAGAAGGCUUUCGGGUUGUAAACUUCUUUUCUGAGGGACGAAGAAAGUGACGGUACCUCAGGAAUAAGCCACGGCUAACUACGGGCCAGCCGCCGCGGUAAUACGUAGGUGGCAAGCGUUAUCCGGAUGUAUUGGGUGUAAAGGGCGUGUAGGCGGGAAAGCAAGUCAGAUGUGAAAACUCAGGGCCCAACCCUGAGACUGCAUUUGAAACUGUUUUUCUUGAGUGCUGGAGAGGCAAUCGGAAUUCCGUGUGUAGCGGUGAAAUGCGUAGAUAUAAGGAGGAACACCAGUGGCGAAGGCGGAUUGCUGGACAGUAACUGACGCUGAGGCGCGAAAGCGUGGGGAGCAAACAGGAUUAGAUACCCUUGUAGUC